Long non-coding RNA from Cyprinus carpio (common carp), 914 nucleotides. RefSeq lists it as uncharacterized. NCBI's taxonomy places the organism in Eukaryota, Metazoa, Chordata, Actinopteri, Cypriniformes, Cyprinidae. The transcript is spliced from 5 exons. The record is from RefSeq and is a predicted model, not a curated record.
UCUAUUAGAAAGAUUAUGCGUGUAGAAUAUCCCAACAUUCACCACGAAUUUGAUAUUUGGCAUGUAGUCAAAGGACUUUCCAAAAAGUUGUGCUCCAUGUCAAGAUACAAGGACAAUCGAGAGCUGCAGCCAUGGACACGAAGUAUUUGCAACCAUUUAUGGUAUUGCUCUGCAACUUGUGGAGGCGACCCUGACGAACUGAUCGAAAAUUGGAAGUCCAUACUUUAACACAUUACAGGUGUGCACAGUUGGUUUAAAGAAGGAAAGCAGAAAAAAAUGUGUACACAAUGAUCUCAGUCCAGAACAGCAACGCAGAAAAAAAUGGCUUGGAAAAGACUCACGUGCCUUCCACACACUGCAGAGUCUUGUCCUGGACAAAGGACUUGAAAAGGAUUUGAGGCAAAUGGCUCUUUUCAAACACACUGGACAACUGGAGGUGUUUCAUUCUGUCCUACUGAAAUACUGCCCAAAGAACCUGCAUUUUCAUUAUGCGUCCAUGGUUGCACGAACACAACUCGCUAUCCUUGACCAUAAUGAAAAUGUAGGUCGUCAGCAAGCAACAACCACUACUGGUGCAUCUCGGUACAAAGUGGUUUUCCCCAAACAUACCAAAGAAUGGGUAGCCAAAACGAUUUUUACACAAACCACUCAAAAAUUCAGAGAGUCUCUGGUUGAGAAAGUUGUACAGCGGCGGCUGGACACCAGCGUUGUUUACAAGGAAAGUUCUUGUCGUUUGACUCAUCAUCACCCAUUGCCACAGAACAUAGCCCUAACACCAAGGCCUGACAAGCAAGAAGUAAUUGCAAAGCGUUUAUCACGAUUUGGACACUAAUUUGCUUUAAAAAUGUUGAAGUCUGUUAUAUACAUUUUUUUUUUUUUUUUAGUUUUUCUGAUUUUUUUCUUAUUGAGGUAAA